CUGUCAUUUCCGCCACACUGCACCCAUCGACUACAACCCUUGGACGUAGGGUUUAUGAAACCUUUUUCAACCUAUUAUACAGAAGCUGCAAAUAGUUGGCUAAGAUUGAAUUCAGGAAAAAUAAUAACCCAAAUUCAACAAGACAGAAUCUAUUCUCUGAAAAGAAGGGGAAAAAACCAGCAAAGGUACAAAAAGGAAAAGGUGAAGGAAAAGGGAAAUAUAAAAGGAAGAAAAAUAAA
Molecule: unclassified non-coding RNA, 239 nt
Filed under: Melitaea cinxia (Glanville fritillary)
Lineage: Eukaryota; Metazoa; Arthropoda; Insecta; Lepidoptera; Nymphalidae
Description: misc RNA ENSMCXG00005012632.1
Source: RNAcentral